GAUGAACGCUGGCGGCUUGCUUAAAACAUGAAGGUCAGGCGACGGAACAGGAGGUUUCCUUUCUGAUGGUUGCGGCGGGCGGGUUGGGAAACACUUGGAAAACCACCUUUAAAGCCUGGGAAACCUCGGGGAACCCGGGGCUAAUACCGGAGAUUAUUUGGACCCCCAUGUUUAAAAGGUAAAGAACGGUUUUGCGUUAACUUAUGAAGGGUUCCGCGCUGUAUUAGCUAGUUGGUAAGGUAACGGCUUACCAAGGCAACGAUGCAUAGCCGACCUGAGAGGGUGAUCGGCCACACUGGAACUGAGACACGGUCCAGACUCCUACGGGAGGCAGCAGUAGGGAAGCUUCCGCAAUGGGCGAAAGCCUGACGGAGCAACGCCGCGUGAGUGAUGAAGGUCUUCGGAUCGUAAAACUCUGUUAUUAGGGAAGAACAUAUGUGUAAGUAACUGUGCACAUCUUGACGGUACCUAAUCAGAAAGCCACGGCUAACUACGU
This 496-nucleotide ribosomal RNA is filed under the name uncultured bacterium. RNAcentral describes it as "partial 16S ribosomal RNA". It matches the Rfam family "Bacterial small subunit ribosomal RNA", at positions 28 to 506 of the family's 1533-position model. The record is from RNAcentral.